GGUGAUUAGCCGUUCAAAUUGCUUCUUCUCAAAAAACAAAAAAGCAAUUCAAAUUCCUUGGAUUCAAGUCUAAAAAACCCAAACUGCAACAACCCAUGAGUUACCUAAUUGACCAUGCUUUUGCACUAUUAUAAGACAUUGGGUUUUUGGUAGUUACUUAGAUUUUGAAAAUAAGUUAUAUAAAUAUCACUUAUCUAUUAUUUAAUUAU
RNAcentral lists this long non-coding RNA (209 nucleotides) under Glycine max (soybean). RNAcentral describes it as "long non-coding RNA (GMAX_LNC002118)". Lineage: Eukaryota; Viridiplantae; Streptophyta; Magnoliopsida; Fabales; Fabaceae. The record is from RNAcentral.